GACGUAGGUGGCGAACGUUAUCCGGAAUUAUUGGGCGUAAAGGGUGCGCAGAUGGUCUGACAAGUUAGCAGUGGCAAAUCGAGGCUCAACCUCGUGGAAACUGGUAAUACUGUCUGACUCGAGUACAGGAGAGGUUAACGGAACUCCAUGUGGAGCGGUAAAAUGUGUAGAUAUAUGGAGGACCACCAAAAAAGGCGAAGGCAGCCAACUAUUCUAUUCCUGACACUGAGGCAUGAAAGCGUGGGGAGCAAACCGG
RNAcentral lists this ribosomal RNA (256 nucleotides) under uncultured bacterium. Its description in RNAcentral is "partial 16S ribosomal RNA". It matches the Rfam family "Bacterial small subunit ribosomal RNA", at positions 524 to 776 of the family's 1533-position model. The record is from RNAcentral.